RNAcentral lists this ribosomal RNA (465 nucleotides) under uncultured bacterium. Its description in RNAcentral is "partial 16S ribosomal RNA". It matches the Rfam family "Bacterial small subunit ribosomal RNA", at positions 338 to 795 of the family's 1533-position model. The record is from RNAcentral.
CCUACGGGGGGCAGCAGUGGGGAAUAUUGCGCAAUGGGCGAAAGCCUGACGCAGCGACGCCGCGUGAGGGAUGAAGGUCUUCGGAUCGUAAACCUCUGUCAGCAGGGAAGAACGGUCACUGUGCUAAUCAGCAGUGAAUUGACGGUACCUGCAAAGGAAGCACCGGCUAACUCCGUUCCAGCAGCCGCGGUAAUACGGAGGGUGCGAGCGUUAAUCGGAAUUAAUGGGCGUAAAGCGCUCGUAGGCGGUAUGUCAAGUCAAGGGUGAAAUCCCCGCGCUCAACGUGGGAACUGCCUUUUAAACUGGCAAACUGGAGUGUGUGAGAGGAUAGUGGAAUUCCAGGUGUAGGAGUGAAAUCCGUAGAUAUCUGGAGGAACAUCAGUGGCGAAGGCGACUAUCUGGCACAUAACUAACGCUGAGGAGCGAAAGCGUGGGUAGCAAACAGGAUUAGAUACCCGUGUAGUC